UACGGAGGGUGCAAGCGUUAUCCGGAUUCACUGGGUUUAAAGGGUGCGUAGGCGGCUGAAUAAGUCAGUGGUGAAAGCUCGCAGCUUAACUGUGAAACUGCCAUUGAAACUGUUUAGCUUGAAUCUGGUUGAAGUGGGCGGAAUACAUCAUGUAGCGGUGAAAUGCUUAGAUAUGAUGUAGAACACCGAUUGCGAAGGCAGCUCACUAAGCCAUCAUUGACGCUGAGGCACGAAAGCGUGGGUAGCGAACAGG
RNAcentral lists this ribosomal RNA (253 nucleotides) under uncultured prokaryote. Its description in RNAcentral is "partial 16S ribosomal RNA". It matches the Rfam family "Bacterial small subunit ribosomal RNA", at positions 524 to 776 of the family's 1533-position model. The record is from RNAcentral.